RNAcentral lists this ribosomal RNA (465 nucleotides) under Vreelandella stevensii. RNAcentral describes it as "partial 16S ribosomal RNA". It matches the Rfam family "Bacterial small subunit ribosomal RNA", at positions 338 to 795 of the family's 1533-position model. The record is from RNAcentral. Lineage: Bacteria; Pseudomonadati; Pseudomonadota; Gammaproteobacteria; Oceanospirillales; Halomonadaceae.
CCUACGCGCGGCAGCAGUGGGGAAUAUUGGACAAUGGGCGAAAGCCUGAUCCAGCCAUGCCGCGUGUGUGAAGAAGGCCUUCGGGUUGUAAAGCACUUUCAGUGGGGAAGAAAGCCUGGGGGCUAAUACCCUCGAGGAAGGACAUCACCCACAGAAGAAGCACCGGCUAACUCCGUGCCAGCAGCCGCGGUAAUACGGAGGGUGCGAGCGUUAAUCGGAAUUACUGGGCGUAAAACGCGCGUAGGCGGUCUGAUAAGCCGGUUGUGAAAGCCCCGGGCUCAACCUGGGAACGGCAUCCGGACCUGUCAGGCUAGAGUGCAGGAGAGGAAGGUAGAAUUCCCGGUGUAGCGGUGAAAUGCGUAGAGAUCGGGAGGAAUACCAGUGGCGAAGGCGGCCUUCUGGACUGACACUGACGCUGAGGUGCGAAAGCGUGGGUAGCAAACAGGAUUAGAUACCCCAGUAGUC